RNAcentral lists this ribosomal RNA (979 nucleotides) under uncultured bacterium. RNAcentral describes it as "bacterial SSU rRNA". It matches the Rfam family "Bacterial small subunit ribosomal RNA", at positions 77 to 1047 of the family's 1533-position model. The record is from RNAcentral.
AGCUUGCUCUCUGCUGACGAGCGGCGGAGGGAGUGUAAUGCAUAGGAAUCUGCCUGGUAGUGGGGGAUAGCCCAGAGAAAUUUGGAUUAAUACCGCAUACGCCCUACGGGGGAAAGCAGGGGAUCUUCGGACCUUGCGCUAUCAGAUGAGCCUAUGUCGGAUUAGCUAGUUGGUGAGGUAACGGCUCACCAAGGCGACGAUCCGUAGCUGGUCUGAGAGGAUGAUCAGCCACACUGGGACUGAGACACGGCCCAGACUCCUACGGGAGGCAGCAGUGGGGAAUAUUGGACAAUGGGCGCAAGCCUGAUCCAGCCAUGCCGCGUGUGUGAAGAAGGCCUUCGGGUUGUAAAGCACUUUCAGCGAGGAGGAAAGGAUGGUUGCUAAUAUCAACCGUCUGUGACGUUACUCGCAGAAGAAGCACCGGCUAACUCCGUGCCAGCAGCCGCGGUAAUACGGAGGGUGCAAGCGUUAAUCGGAAUUACUGGGCGUAAAGCGUGCGUAGGCGGCCUUUUAAGUUGGAUGUGAAAGCCCCGGGCUCAACCUGGGAACGGCAUCCAAAACUGAGAGGCUCGAGUGCAGAAGAGGAGUGUGGAAUUUCCUGUGUAGCGGUGAAAUGCGUAGAUAUAGGAAAGAACACCAGUGGCGAAGGCGACACUCUGGUCUGACACUGACGCUGAGGUACGAAAGCGUGGGGGAGCAAACAGGAUUAGAUACCCUGGUAGUCCACGCCGUAAACGAUGUCUACUAGUUGUCGGGACUCUUGCAGUCUUGGUAACGCAGCUAACGCGAUAAGUAGACCGCCUGGGGGAGUACGGCCGCAAGGCGAAACUCCAAUGAAUUGACGGGGGCCCGCACAAGCGGUGGGAGCAUGUGGUUUAAUUCGAAGCAACGCGAGAACCUUACCUGGGCCUUGACAUCCUGGCGACUUUCCAGAGAUAGAAUGGUGCCCUCCGGGAACCGCAAACACAGGGGCUGCAUG